This is a long non-coding RNA of Vicia villosa (hairy vetch), 1752 nucleotides long. RefSeq lists it as uncharacterized. Lineage: Eukaryota; Viridiplantae; Streptophyta; Magnoliopsida; Fabales; Fabaceae. The transcript is spliced from 4 exons. The record is from RefSeq and is a predicted model, not a curated record.
GGCAGAAACGAGAAAUAGAGUUGGGAAUUAGGGUUACCAUUACCGGACUCUCAAAGGCGCGUUCUUCUUCUUCUUGCGAACAACAGCGGCGCGCUUGCUUCGGUCUAUUCCGGCGGUCUAUCUCAGCCUCUCUUUGGUGAUGCGGAUUCGGAAAUCGAAGAAGAUGAAUCGCUGAAGAUAGCGAUUGUGAGGGCUUGGUGAUGAUGAAGAACAAAGCAAGUUACGGAGGUUGAAGCGUUGGAUGAAGAUGGUUGAGGCAGGUCCGUUGAUUUGCAGAACUGAUUGGAUGAGUGCGAUGUUGAUGCGAUUGCUUUGACGUCGAGAAGAUUAUCACGAUGAUGAUGCUAAUUAAGAGCAGAAAUCCAUGAAGACUUCAAUAAUCCGGGUAGUUUCAAUCCAUUCUCUUCGUCUCUUCUUCUUGAUUCUUUCUCCGGUUUCUUCUUAUUCUCCGACCUGCGUCUUUGCGUUCGUGCGUGAUUCUUCUGUGUUGUUGUUGCGAGGUUGAGAGAUUUGAUGAUGAUGGUGAAGAUUGGCGGUUAUGCUAAUGGUGCAGCUGCAGAAUAUGAGUGAUGAUGAUGGUGAUUUUAUGGAUAGUGAAGGUGAAGAUGUGAGGAAGUGGUUGGAAGAUGGAGCUGGAUGAAGGUCCAGAAGGUGAUGAAUGUGAAGAGAGAGUAGCAGAAGGAAAAGAUGAGUGUGAGAAGAAGAUGAGGCUCUACCCUUCUUCCUUCAAAGUCUGCAAGCGAGACAAUGAUGAAGACUGAUAGUGCUUUUUUUGGUGUCCAUUGUAGGUGGGUGAAGCUGACUAUUUAUAGGAGCAAUCAUUGGGUGAUCAUUAGGAAUCCUUAGAUGUGGGACUCAGCAUUAUAGCUUGCAAGGGUAUGGAUUGAUAGGAGCAUGGGUCAGUUAACUGCUGCUUGAAAGUUCUGCUAGGGACCAUGUUUGAAAGUUAGGGAAUUAGUUUUAGACUGAAUAUAGAUGGGCUGGACAUCCUUUGCAAACUGACUUGUUGCUUUGAUAAACCGUGUUGAACUUGAGUUGAAUCAUUGAAUGCCUUGGUGAUGCAGACAGAUAUCUUGUGAAUGUGUGAUGACAUUGUAUCAUGGAAUCGGUGUUAUGUAUGAUAGGUCUGGAUGGUAGUCGUGUAGGGACUGGUUUGAAAAAAGCCUGAAUCUGAAUGUGGUUUUCUUUUCUGAACUAAUGCAGGGUUUUCCUUAUGUUCAAAAUUGGGACUGACUAGUACCGCGGUAUCAUGGCUGAAGGUCGGGCAGCCAGUCAAGUUACAACAAGCUCAUGGUUCGCGCCGACACAAUUGGAUCAAAUGCUUUAGUGUAUGUGCAUAGUGUGGAUGCUAUUAGCAGCAGGCUAAGUUUCAUGGCGCAAUUUGAACAUGAGUGUAGCAAGACGCACAGUCGGAUGGCGGACGUUCGAUGCAAAUGAAGGGCUUGAAUGGAAGUGUUUUGAUGUUGAUUUGUACUGGUUGUAGCAAAACAGACUCCACAUCAGAAACUAUUUUCUGGAGCUGCUGCCUCUAUUUUUUGAGGGCAACAUAUAUCUUAAAAAGGAUGAGUCUGAUUGAGUUGAGGAGGGGAGAGUGGAAGGCACGACGGAAGCAUCAUUAGGAGAAUCCUUUUUUCCUUGUAAUGUGGCAUGUAAUGGAAUUGUGAUAUGUAAUCUCCUUGUAAUGACUUUCUGUGUAACAUAAUUUGUAGAUUUUUGUAGACAUUUAUAAACACAGUAUUCUUCUCUUAUCAA